RNAcentral lists this long non-coding RNA (259 nucleotides) under Carica papaya (papaya). RNAcentral describes it as "long non-coding RNA (CPAP_LNC013800)". Lineage: Eukaryota; Viridiplantae; Streptophyta; Magnoliopsida; Brassicales; Caricaceae. The record is from RNAcentral.
UUCAAUAGUAAAUUAUAAAAUCAUUAUACUGUUUAGGAAUUUAUUACUAUAGAGGUAGUAUAAGAUUUUAUUAGUUUUCUGUCUAUGUUAGCUGUAUUAUUUCCUAAUUUUUUAGGUGUUAGCAUUUCUUAGUUUGUUACCAAUGUGCCCACACUAGUGAAUAUGUUUGAGCAUAUUUCUGGUUUCCGCAUAAACAUGAUCAGGAGUAGUUGACAGGAAUAAAUGUGGCAGAUAGUAAAGUGAGCAACCUAGGCGAGGC